This is a non-coding RNA of Mycena alexandri, 93 nucleotides long. NCBI's taxonomy places the organism in Eukaryota, Fungi, Basidiomycota, Agaricomycetes, Agaricales, Mycenaceae. The record is from the annotation of a GenBank genome assembly.
CACCCGAUGGCACAUGGUGUGCGCCUGCCUUUCCUGAUUGCCUGCACAAGCAUGUGUAGGCAGGAGGCCCCCGUUCGAUUCGGGGUCGGGUGA